GACGACGCUGGCGGCGUGCCUCAAACAUGCAAGUCGAGCGGACGGAGACCGAACCGCAAGGGGAGGUUGAAGUUAGCGGCGAACGGGUGAGUAACACGUGGGUAACCUACCCUAAAGUCUGGGACAACGGCCCGAAAGGGCCGCUAAUACCGGAUAAUGUCUUCGGGUCGCAUGGCCUGGGGAAGAAAGCCGAAAGGCGCUUAUGGAUGGGCUCGCGUCCCAUCAGCUAGUUGGUAAGGUAACGGCUUACCAAGGCGACGACGGGUAGCCGGUCUGAGAGGAUGGUCGGCCACACUGGGACUGAGAUACGGCCCAGACUCCUACGGGAGGCAGCAGUUGGGAAUAUUGGGCAAUGGGCGAAAGCCUGACCCAGCGACGCCGCGUGAGGGAAGAAGGCCUUCGGGUCGUAAACCUCUGUCAUCGGGGACGAAGAAAGUGACGGUACCCGAGGAGGAAGCCCCUGCUAACUACGUG
RNAcentral lists this ribosomal RNA (474 nucleotides) under uncultured bacterium. Its description in RNAcentral is "bacterial SSU rRNA". It matches the Rfam family "Bacterial small subunit ribosomal RNA", at positions 33 to 507 of the family's 1533-position model. The record is from RNAcentral.